RNAcentral lists this ribosomal RNA (260 nucleotides) under uncultured prokaryote. RNAcentral describes it as "partial 16S ribosomal RNA". It matches the Rfam family "Bacterial small subunit ribosomal RNA", at positions 524 to 782 of the family's 1533-position model. The record is from RNAcentral.
UACGUAGGGUGCGAGCGUUGUCCGGAAUUACUGGGAGUAAAGAGCUCGUAGGUGGUUUGUCACGUCGUCUGUGAAAUUCCGGGGCUUAACCUCGGGCGUGCAGGCGAUACGGGCAAUACUUGAGUGCUGUAGGGGAGACUGGAAUUCCUGGUGUAGCGGUGAAAUGCGCAGAUAUCAGGAGGAACACCAAUGGCGAAGGCAGGUCUCUGGGCAGUUACUGACGCUGAGGAGCGAAAGCAUGGGUAGCGAACAGGAUUAGA